UGCACACUCUAAAAAAUGUUGGGUUAUUUUUUCUACCCAACCGCUGGGUUAAGCCUGUUGGGUCAUUUUAUUGGGUUAUUUUCUCAGUGUUGGGUAGUUUUUAGUGUAACCCAGCCGCUGGGUUACUAGUUGGGUCAAUUUUAGUGACAGUUGACACAGUGAGCCCCUCCCCCUCCUCGACGCCUCAACUCUAUCCUUCGCGGGCAUUUUGAGUCACCUCAGGAGUCAAGAGCCAUCGUUUUUCAGCGAGGACAGCUGUUAUUCGGAGAAAAAAAAGAUGAACAAAUUGAUGAAGAAACCCUCCUGCUGCUUGAUGAAAAAUCACUAGAAGCUAUGAUACCAAAAAUAGGCCUGUGAUUGAAAUUUAAAAAGCACCUGAGAGAGCUGCUUGUGAGUGAAGAAAUGCACAUUUAAGAUGGGAUAUAUCUGCUUUAAGUGCAAAAAGACUGUUGGGGCCAAUGUUCGUUUUUUGUUUUCGCAUCUAAGAAUAAUGCAUAAUGUAUAUAGUUCAUCAAGUUAUUUUGAGUGUGGCCAAGCUGGGUGUCAUAGGACACUUAACUACAGCAGAUCAUUUAAGAGGCAUCUGCU
Cyprinus carpio carpio is the source of this 588-nucleotide long non-coding RNA. Lineage: Eukaryota; Metazoa; Chordata; Actinopteri; Cypriniformes; Cyprinidae. The record is from Ensembl.